This 271-nucleotide ribosomal RNA is filed under the name uncultured archaeon. RNAcentral's name for it is "partial 16S ribosomal RNA". It matches the Rfam family "Archaeal small subunit ribosomal RNA", at positions 477 to 747 of the family's 1478-position model. The record is from RNAcentral.
CAGCGCCACAAGUGGGGGCCAUGAUUAUUGGGCCUAAAGCGUCCGUAGCCGGUUUAGCAAAUCUUUUGUGAAAUCGUCAGGCUUAACUUGACGAAUUGCAGAAGACACUACUAAACUAGGGACUGGGAGGAGUCAGAAGUAUUCUGGGGGGACCGGUAAAAUGGUAUAAUCCCCAGAGGACUACCGAUGGCGAAGGCAUCUGACCAGAACAGAUCCGACGGUGAGGGACGAAAGCCAGGGGAGCAAACCGGAUUAGAUACCCGAGUAGUCC